CAGGAACCUGCCUGUGCCCCCAGCCCCAGGCCCGAGCACAGAGCCCCAAAGGCCAGUGGGCAGUGGUACUGGGGGCCCAUGGGUGACCCUUCUGCCUGGACCUCCAUGGCACCGAAGCCCACACCGCAGGUACUGCUCACCGUGAGUGUCAGGAUGGCUGCAGCAGAGCAUCAGACUGUGGGCCUCAGUGGGCUCUGGGUGAUGUUCCAGUCUGGUGCCCUCUGUCAGCCGUGAGGAUGCAAAGCCGAGGAUAAGCCACAUGGAGAGGCAUGCGUGCAUGUGUGCAUGCAUGCAUGCGUGCAUGCGCGUGCAUGCCACUUCAGGUGCACACUGCCCUCAGGUGCCUCCUGACUACAAGGGGGCCACUGAAGGCCAACCCAGGCUCCUCUGGGAGCAGAUGGGUGGAGUGGGUUUUGUGAGCACCACCCUAGUCUUUGGACAGCAAGCACCGAAGGGCUUUCAGUUCAGAACAGAUGCUUAGGAAAUUUGUGUCUUCAGACUGUUUUGCCAGCCAGCAGCUUGCAGCUGGAGACGAAGGCUGAAAUUCAAUCGAGGUGACUGCAGAAUCGGGCUGCGGUUGAGCCCCACAUCCUUUUAAGAAGGUUUGGUGGGAUGGCGGCUGGCAGCCAGAGGGAGAGAGGAGCAUGAGACUUGCCUUACACACCGUGGCUUUCUGGGUGUGGGGACUUCUCCGAGCAGGCUUCCUGCCCCUGCCCACUGCAGGUGUCGGGAGUAGGUCCCCUUGGCUGUGAGCUGCAGUGGAGACUCCUGAGCGAGCUGCCUGUAGCUUCUCCCUGCAGACUGGACGGCUGUGGUGCUCAAAGUGGGGGUGGCUGGAAGGGAGGGAGGAGCCCAGCUUCCUCCUCCUGCGGUGACCGCAGCCUUCCGUGCUUGUGUAGCCAGGCAGUGGACAUCACAUGUCCAUGUCCCUGUCCCUCUCCCCGCCCUGGUCCUGGCAGCGUGGCUCCUCUGGGAAGUUGGUGCUGGCUGCAAAGGUCCAAGUAGAAUCAGGUCUCGCUGCCCCACGAGGACAGUGGCAAGGGUGCUCUGAGGCUCCUGAGGGCCGGGCUUCUCGUCCCCACGUUGGUGUCAAACACGGGGUGUUCGGACGGCCGCCCUUACUGCCCCCGUGCUGGCUUUUGCCCAGGGCGCCUGCUGUGCUGUACUGUGGAAUGUCCGGAGUUACAAGCUACACGUGGAAAGCCAGCCUUUCGUGGGUGGAGUGUCACCGCAGGGCCCACGUCUUUGUGCCACAGCCACCUAUCCUCUAAGAGGCCCUGAGGUUGGAGACCUGCAGCUUCCUGGGUAGCACAGGGUCACAUCAGGACCGUAGAGCACCCGCCCUGAUCUCCCAGGUCGGCAGGGCCCUGAGCAGGCGUGGGUCCCGUGUGCAGCCAGAGUUGAAGCCCACUGGAGGCAGUGCAGAGGGCAGCUGUGCUCCAGUGCUGCGGGAAGAGCCACUCAGGACAGGCUUGAGAUGGGCCAGGGCGCUGGCCUUUGAGGCCUGGAGAGAAAGGCCAGGCUGAGGUGUCUGGGGAGAAGCAGUCUGGCUUGUGCCCUGGCCAGGGUGCCCAGCACCGCAGCUCAGGGCCAGCCUCUGACCAUGCCACGGCGCGGAAGAGUACAUCGGAGUGAAAGGCUCUGCCCGCAUGCGGACUCCAGGAGGCCACAGCAGAGCCACCAGAGUCACUGAACCAGGUGGGCAGGGCUGAUGGAACGAGUUUGCUCCUCCACACUAGCAGCAUGCAGCCUGGGAGUGAGCUGAAGACAGCCCCGUGCGGCUCCUGUCCUGGUUCGAAGCCUGGCACCACCGCCUUCCUCUCCGGGAGCCUUCGGCUGGAGGAGCCAUGAGAACAGCCGCACAUUUGCCCUCAGCAGUCACAAGCCAGCUGGAGGCCCACCAGGAGGAAGGCAUGGUCAUCUCGCACAUGGCUGUGGCUGGUGUCGGGCUCUGGGUUGCCUUCACUACCGGGUCCACCCUCCGCCUCUUCCACGCGAAACGCUGAAGCACCUGCAGGAUGUCAACAUCGCUGCCCCUGUGCACUGACAUGCUGCCAGGUACAGGCCAGGGACACUGCCACCAGAAUUGGGGUAGAGCCACGGCCUGCCUUGGGUGCGGGAGGUAGGGGCACUGGGUGCUGCCAGGUGCAGGGUGGGGCCUGCAGUGGAGGCGGGGUGAGGCUUCCGGCCCUGGUUCGAGUGCCCAGAGUCCCCCAUGUUGGAGCAGAGCCACGGUCCCAUCCCUCCCUGGGGAGCGGGUGACGAGCAUGAUCUGUGUCCAUGAAGCAGAAGGAGGGCCCAGGGGUAAUAGAGAGGUAGAGAUGGAGGAGGAGAGAGAGUCCGUGGAGGCAGCAUCUCAGCCGGGCUCACCGUGCAUGGGGCGGGAGGCAGGCGGUGGAGGACCGGAG
Molecule: long non-coding RNA, 2408 nt
Filed under: Heterocephalus glaber (naked mole-rat)
Lineage: Eukaryota; Metazoa; Chordata; Mammalia; Rodentia; Bathyergidae
Description: lncRNA (ENSHGLG00100037478.1)
Source: RNAcentral